RNAcentral lists this ribosomal RNA (253 nucleotides) under uncultured bacterium. Its description in RNAcentral is "partial 16S ribosomal RNA". It matches the Rfam family "Bacterial small subunit ribosomal RNA", at positions 524 to 776 of the family's 1533-position model. The record is from RNAcentral.
UACGAGUGCUCCAAGCGUUAUCCGGAAUCAUUGGGCGUAAAGGGUGUGUAGGCGGUCUUAUUAGUCUUCUGUCAAAACUCUUGGCUUAACCAAGAAUCUGCAGGGGAAACGGUAAGACUUGAGGAUGCGAGAGGUGAAUGGAACUCAUAGUGUAGGGGUGAAAUCCGUUGAUAUUAUGGGGAACACCAAAAGCGAAGGCAAUUCACUGGCGCACUCCUGACGCUGAAACACGAAAGCGUGGGUAGCGAAUGGG